Molecule: non-coding RNA, 1123 nt
Organism: Erythranthe guttata (spotted monkey flower)
Lineage: Eukaryota; Viridiplantae; Streptophyta; Magnoliopsida; Lamiales; Phrymaceae
Source: RefSeq, a predicted model, not a curated record
UUACUCGCAAUUUUCGAUAAAAAAGUGUUCAUCCCAAUAAAAAAUUUAAAGCCCUUAACCUAUUAUUUGUAAAUCUAAAACUGAAUAUGUAUUUGUAAUUGAAAAGCGAAAUCGGAACACCAGGGCAAUUUCAGAACGAUUAUCUCAGAUUCCUCGCGCCUACAGUAGGGGAUUUGUGUGCACGAAGAUGAGUUUUUUUCGUCUUUUUUUUUUUUUUGUGUGCAGGUCACACUCUAUACCUACAAUUGAUUUACCGGGUUGGUGUUCUUCAUUGUGUAUUACAAAAAUUUGUAUCUUGAUUUUCUUCCUCUGUAAAUGUCCUAAUUUUAAAUUGUGCUUCUUGAUAAUUGAUUUAAGGAGAACUUCAUGAAGGGAGGUAUCUAGUUAAAAGGUUGUCUGAGUUCUGAUGGUCGAUUUAACAGAGUAGUACUCUAAAAAUUGCAUAGAUAGAAGAGAGUAAUAACGUAUAUCAGAAAGAUAAAAAACCCAACAGGGUCGAUGAUAAUCCAGGUAUUCUGUCUUUUGUGCAUGUCACAAGGGUAAGCCUCCAAUUGAUUUUUUCGUAUGAGUUAUUGAUUUAUGUAUAAUGUAUUAUCAAACAAGAAGUCUUCUACCUCUCUAUCUUCUAUAAUUGUCCCAAUUUUCUGCAAUGUGUUUCUUGAUUAUUUUUAAUUAUUUGAAUGUGGAUAAAUUCGUCAAGGGAGGAGGAAGAUAGAUUGUCUAUUGCUAUAUAUGAAUGGCUUAAUAAAGAACUCCAAGUAUUGCAAACUUGAAGACAUUAACAAGUUAUAUAAGAAAUCCGAACAAAACCUUCAAUGAAGGCAAUUGAGGUUGUUUUGGAUGACGAGAUUCAUUGUUGAUACCGCCUAAAAUAUGCCAAGAGCUAAAUUUAUGCCACUAGACUUCAUUCAAGACAUUUUCUCCUCUUUUUUUUUUUUUUUUUUUUUUGCUAGAAAACUGACUUCUAAAUAUUAUAAUUCUGUAUUUGAAGGCAUGGUUUGAUUAUUCAGAGAUUUAUUGUAGUAGAUUGUUUGUUGACGUUAGAGAAUAUCUAUACAGUUGAAAUUUUGAUGAAGGAAAGUUGAGAAUGUUUAUUUUAUUUGAAUUCUUAUUUAUAUUUUUA